Erigeron canadensis is the source of this 504-nucleotide long non-coding RNA. RefSeq lists it as uncharacterized. Lineage: Eukaryota; Viridiplantae; Streptophyta; Magnoliopsida; Asterales; Asteraceae. The record is from RefSeq and is a predicted model, not a curated record. The transcript is spliced from 2 exons.
UUCUUUAACCUCUUCUCCUUCCUUCAAUCAUGUACUCAAGUAUUGAAUUUUGCUUCUGAUUUUCUGAACAAGGUGAAGCGUGGAAAGAAGCCAACUUGAAGAUCAGCUUCACUUGUACUAUGCCAAUGUCUCAAAAGAUGAAAGAUUUGCCAACUUGAAUGGUAUUGCUGACCUUGCUAAAGAGAUGGUGAAAACGAGAACAUCUUUCCUACCAUUUGGUCUACCGAUUGUUAAAGCUAGCACUAGUCUUGCCCGUUGCAACAGCAACAGUUAGAGAUGCUUUUCUGCCAUGAAACUUGUGAAAUCAGAUUUGCGCAACCGAAUUGGUGACGAGUUUUUGAACUCUUGUGUAAUUUUUACUGCAGUAAAAGAAGCACUUGAUAGUGUUAAAAUUGAAGAUGUAAUGACCCGCUUCCACAAGUUAGGAAAGCGUAGAGGCAAAUUGUAGGAGCUUAACUUGGUUCUCAUGGUUUAAUGAAGAUUACAAUGGUUGUUUUGAUGUUA